AUGUAGAAAUACCUCUUUCACUAAAAUUGAUUUAAAAACAAACUUAUUGAACUUGUAAAACAGUAGAUUAAAGAAGUUGUAAAUCCAGAGCCAUCAUAUUGGAAAAAUACAAGUAAAAUAGGUGGCCAGGUAGUCGUCGUCAUCCACCUGUGUCCCGUCCUCGGCCACGCACAGCCGGCAUUCUGCGC
Trichoplusia ni (cabbage looper) is the source of this 188-nucleotide long non-coding RNA. RefSeq lists it as uncharacterized. Lineage: Eukaryota; Metazoa; Arthropoda; Insecta; Lepidoptera; Noctuidae. The record is from RefSeq and is a predicted model, not a curated record. The transcript is spliced from 3 exons.